Molecule: non-coding RNA, 26 nt
Filed under: Cricetulus griseus (Chinese hamster)
Lineage: Eukaryota; Metazoa; Chordata; Mammalia; Rodentia; Cricetidae
Source: RNAcentral
AGGGACAGAUCAGUGCGUCAGACAAG